RNAcentral lists this non-coding RNA (27 nucleotides) under Homo sapiens (human). Lineage: Eukaryota; Metazoa; Chordata; Mammalia; Primates; Hominidae. The record is from RNAcentral.
UGAAAGGGGCCUGGCUGAUGGCAAACA